UUUUGUUUUUAUGCUAUGAUUAUUGUGUCUAGUGUGAAUACUUGGAUUUUGUAAGCAGAAAGUUUCCAGGCCUGCUGCUUUUCUUUUAAAUGUCAACUAUUUAUUUGCGUGUUUAUUCCUCGGUGUAAUGUUUUUAAGUUUUUUCUGGUUCAUGUCUCUUAUUGCUCUAGGCUAUAUAGUUUGGCGAGAAUGCCAGGAGCAUUUUUUAUUUUUGAAUGUCACAUGCUGCAUAAUGCUCUGAUCAUUUGUUAUUUUUGUCUAAAACUUAAAUACCUUGGUAUAAUAUUCAAUCAAGUUAUUGUUGCUUUACUUAACAUCCUCAACUUUACCUGAUGCAAUGCUUGCUUUAUAUUUCUUUUCGAGAUAAAUUUCUUUUUUAAUUUGUGAAGCAUAUACUACGGUACAAGUGCAUCUUCUCUCUUGCCACAGAAUAUUUAAAGCAGCUUCAAGUUCCUAAGUCCAAGUGAGUUUUCGUUUCAACUAUGCCAUGCCUGUUGUAAUAUUGCAGAAAAAUAUAGACCCCUAUUAAACAACUUAUAUAUGUAUUUAUAGUUUCUUCUUCAGCAACUUAUGUACAUGUACAAAUUGAUGCAUGAUUGAGUUAUGUUCUAUACCGUUUAGUUACUAUAUUUUAAACUCUGUUGGCAGAAGGAAUGUUCAUACUUGGCUUUAUAAUUUCAUUUGUCAAAUUUUCUCUGCAUUUUUCCCUGGAAUUCUCUGAAAUUCCUCGCUUCUAGCUCGCCCAGCAAAUGUAUUCUGCCUCAGAAUCCCGUGCUUUGGACUAAUUCUUGGUCAUCAAUCUCAAAACCUAUAUAUAUUAGAUUAAAUACUUACAUCAAAUUGGGUGUUUUUUACUAAGAUUACUUGCAAAACAAGUCAAUAAGUGCUAAUGAGCUUAACAUGAUUUUGGCACUUAUCAUUCAUCUUUCAAUCUACCAGGUAAAUAUAUGUACUUCUUUUCCUCUAGUUUGUCGGAAAAAAAAUUCAUCUCAACUGUUUCCUUAAAUUAUAUUAACAACAUUUUUUAUUCACCUGAUCUGUAU
RNAcentral lists this long non-coding RNA (1043 nucleotides) under Medicago truncatula (barrel medic). Its description in RNAcentral is "long non-coding RNA (MTRU_LNC008762)". Lineage: Eukaryota; Viridiplantae; Streptophyta; Magnoliopsida; Fabales; Fabaceae. The record is from RNAcentral.